Molecule: ribosomal RNA, 647 nt
Filed under: uncultured bacterium
Lineage: Bacteria
Description: bacterial SSU rRNA
Rfam family: Bacterial small subunit ribosomal RNA
Source: RNAcentral
GCAAGUCGAACGAAGUAGCAAUACUUAGUGGCAGACGGGUGAGUAACAUGUGGGUAUCUACCCUUUGGCCUGGAAUAACACGAGGAAACUUGUGCUAAUACCGGAUAAGUCUUUACGGAGAAAGCUUUAUGCACCAUUGGAUGAGCCCGCACUUGAUUAGUUUGUUGGUAGGGUAAUGGCCUACCAAGACUAUGAUCAAUAGCUGAUUUGAGAGGAUGAUCAGCCACAUUGGGACUGAGACACGGCCCAAACUCCUACGGGAGGCAGCAGUGGGGAAUCUUGCACAAUGGAGGAAACUCUGAUGCAGCGAUGCCGCGUGAGUGAAGAAGGCCUUUGGGUUGUAAAGCUCUUUCGUCGGGGAAGAAAAUGACUGUACCCGAAUAAGAAGGUCCGGCUAACUUCGUGCCAGCAGCCGCGGUAAUACGAAGGGACCUAGCGUAGUUCGGAAUUACUGGGCUUAAAGAGUUCGUAGGUGGUUGAAAAAGUUGGUGGUGAAAUCCCAGAGCUUAACUCUGGAACUGCCAUCAAAACUUUUCAGCUAGAGUAUGAUAGAGGAAAGCAGAAUUUCUAGUGUAGAGGUGAAAUUCGUAGAUAUUAGAAAGAAUACCAAUUGCGAAGGCAGCUUUCUGGAUCAUUACUGACACUGA